AAAUUUUAACAUCAAUUUUCUGUUUCGUUCGUCCCCGAAAUUUCAGAAAAUAUUUCAUGGUAGGCCCUCUGGACCUAUUUCGGAGAAACGGGAUUUUCGUUUUAAGAAUAAUACUACUGUUGGCAAUCGAGACACCGUAUAUCGAUGGCAGAGCAAAAAUCAACGGCGGUCCUGUUGUCGGGUCCCUAAAUUGAUCGCCGAUAAUGGCGAGAUUACCUACUUUUAAGACGCGUAAUGCCAUAUGCAAUGCUCUCAAGGUUGAGUUUUGUUGGAAGGCGGAUACAACACAGUAGUAAUGACCAGACAGUGAUCUUAGCUCCCCUAAAGCUUAGCCUAGAUCUUUGCUUCCCUAAAGGAAUCUUGACUAAGAUCUCGUAUUCGUUUGAAUCACUUACCAUCAAGACCCAACAAGGAGAGUUCAUAGUCGAUGAUGAUAAUAUCUGAAAUAUUAGUAACGAUGGAAACCAGACUUUAAAUCAAAGUGAUAACAUUGACGAUUCUACUUGCAUAGUCCGUACAGCAUAAAUUAAUCUAAACGGUGGAUAUGAGUAUUGAAAUUACAAGGUCGAUUGAUUGUGGUUCUCUACAAUAUACUUUUCUCAUUGUCACCACGAAGAAACUAAUAAAAGUAAUCGUAUAUGCAGGAUUUUGCUUUCAAGUUUACGAGCGCUCACAGAACAAGAAAAGAUGAAUCCUUUAGGUAACGGAGACAGCUAAAAUAAAUAUCCAACUUGAUGUACAUACACUCUCCAGUCUUUGUUAGUGUUUUCACUAGCAAAAGAUGGACUACUGGUGCAGCUUUUAAAUCAGGUGGACUACAUUGAGAUUGCGGCGAAUUCCUCUAAAAAUUUGAAGUCCACAUCAAAUUUAACAAUAAUUCCUAACAUUUCUGUCAUGAUAAUUUUAUGAAGUUUUGUGAAAAUUUAAGGAGACGUUGCAGUGAGACAAAUAGAUGACGCGACGAUACGUAGAGAUUUGACUCGUCUUUAACUGUCUCAGAGGAAGAAACACAGAUACACCGAUAAGAGCCUCCAGACACCUCACCGUUUUUGUUUUGCUAAUUAUUAUGACCAGAACUAAAAUCCUAUCAUAAAUACGAGUAAUGAAAGGAACUCAGGCUGUAAAGGAACCACGAGCUGGCAAGAUGGAAUAGCGUGAUGAACAUAAAAUGUUGGUUUUUACAUCUACUAAGCUGUUAGUAGGUCAUAUACACGUUAUUUGCCAAAUUCUAUGUUAUUAUUGUGAAUUGAACUGAAUAAAAUUAAUCAUUUUCAUUCCCGAAAGUACCGUAAAUCCUGGUGGCUGCUCCAAAGAAACGGGAAUUUCCAAAAAGUAAAAAACAAGAACCGGGGAUUUCGGUACCAGGACUAUUUGGUUUCAUUUCUUAAGAAACGCAUUUGCAUAUCAAGCAAUCAAUACAAAUUUCGUGUAUGAAAGGGAAUGGAUUUCUAAAUAACUGUUCAAUCUAUCAAUAACAAUCUUUAAAGGAACUUGUAUUAUUUAAGUAGGUAUUCAAGUACUGUAUACAAGUAAAUUAGGACAUAUCCUCCUAAAUUAAAAUGAAUGGAUAUUUAUUGUUUUUUAUGCAAAAAAUAAUGAACUGAUUUAAGUAAAAUAUACUGCUUGUAUUUAUUUAUAUGUAUCAUUGAUUGGCAAAUUGUUUUUGUUUAAUUGAAUACUGUUUUCCGGAUAGGUGUUAUAAUAUA
Molecule: long non-coding RNA, 1706 nt
Organism: Galleria mellonella (greater wax moth)
Lineage: Eukaryota; Metazoa; Arthropoda; Insecta; Lepidoptera; Pyralidae
Exons: 3
Source: RefSeq, a predicted model, not a curated record